GACGUAGGAUGCAAGCGUUGUCCGGAAUUAUUGGGCGUAAAGAGUUCGUAGGCGGUUAUUUAAGUCUGGUGUUAAAUACUGGCGCUCAACGUCGGCAUGGCAUGAGAAACUGGAUGGCUAGAGUGUGGCAGAGGUCAAGGGAAUUCCAGGUGUAGCGGUGAAAUGCGUAGAUAUCUGGAGGAACACCGGCGGCGAAAGCGCUUGACUGGGCCAUAACUGACGCUGAGGAACGAAAGCCGGGGGAGCAAAAGGG
RNAcentral lists this ribosomal RNA (253 nucleotides) under uncultured bacterium. RNAcentral's name for it is "partial 16S ribosomal RNA". It matches the Rfam family "Bacterial small subunit ribosomal RNA", at positions 524 to 776 of the family's 1533-position model. The record is from RNAcentral.